This is a long non-coding RNA of Oreochromis aureus, 287 nucleotides long. RefSeq lists it as uncharacterized. NCBI's taxonomy places the organism in Eukaryota, Metazoa, Chordata, Actinopteri, Cichliformes, Cichlidae. The record is from RefSeq and is a predicted model, not a curated record. The transcript is spliced from 3 exons.
GUAUUGAACCUGGAAUACCAGGAGUCAGCGUGUGCAACAUUGGAACUAAUUCAGAGGUUUUUUGUAAGGAUAAACCCUGAAGAGGGAACAAAAUGUACCUCCAAGGUUGGGACAAGCAGAAAGACUGGGACCACUGUGAAGCGAAAGAUGAUCCAUGGCCCAUGCUUUCUGGACAUUUACACAAGACGAACAACAAUGAAGACAAGCUCUCUCGCCAUCUUGCAAGACGCUGACUCUGUCCAAUAGGUUUUUUGAGUGCAACAGUUUUGAUUUUUUUUUUCCUUCUU